AGGAAGCAGACGCCGAAGGUAAAGCCGAUGAUUGGCGCGAAGUCGUAACAAGGUAGCCGUAUCGGAAGGUGCGGCUGGAUCACCUCCUUUCUGG
Molecule: ribosomal RNA, 94 nt
Filed under: bacterium
Lineage: Bacteria
Description: partial 16S ribosomal RNA
Rfam family: Bacterial small subunit ribosomal RNA
Source: RNAcentral